This is a long non-coding RNA of Corticium candelabrum, 258 nucleotides long. RefSeq lists it as uncharacterized. The transcript is spliced from 2 exons. The record is from RefSeq and is a predicted model, not a curated record. NCBI's taxonomy places the organism in Eukaryota, Metazoa, Porifera, Homoscleromorpha, Homosclerophorida, Plakinidae.
UAUGCGCUUGCUGCAGCGGAGACGCCUGAUCGUUUUAGCAAAAACGAGGACCGUUACAACCAGCAACGUGUGCUGAAACUAUGGAUAUUGUUAAAUAUCUAUCAUUUCUACGAGUUGGACUGGAAUCAGCUGCGUUUCAGAUGGGAAGGAGCGCGAACACCUCCGGGGGGGUUACUGAGAUGUCGCAGAGCUCAUUUGACAGCAAAGACCUGGAAAGAUCUACUCCAACUAACGUGAAAUCACUUGAUAGAAUUGAGA